UAGGGAAUCUUCCGCAAUGGGCGAAAGCCUGACGGAGCAACGCCGCGUGAGUGAUGAAGGUCUUCGGAUCGUAAAACUCUGUUAUUAGGGAAGAACAAAUGUGUAAGUAACUAUGCACGUCUUGACGGUACCUAAUCAGAAAGCCACGGCUAACUACGUGCCAGCAGCCGCGGUAAUACGUAGGUGGCAAGCGUUAUCCGGAAUUAUUGGGCGUAAAGCGCGCGUAGGCGGUUUUUUAAGUCUGAUGUGAAAGCCCCCGGCUCAACCGGGGAGGGUCAUUGGAAACUGGUUGACUUGAGUGCAGAAGAGGAGAGUGGAAUUCCAUGUGUAGCGGUGAAAUGCGUAGAUAUAUGGAGGAACACCAGUGGCGAAGGCGACUCUCUGGUCUGUAACUGACGCUGAGGUUCGAAAGCGUGGGUAGCAAACAGG
This 429-nucleotide ribosomal RNA is filed under the name Bacteroidota bacterium. RNAcentral describes it as "Bacteroidetes bacterium partial 16S ribosomal RNA". It matches the Rfam family "Bacterial small subunit ribosomal RNA", at positions 355 to 776 of the family's 1533-position model. The record is from RNAcentral. Lineage: Bacteria; Pseudomonadati; Bacteroidota.